UGCCCAGCAACUUCUAUUCCUACCUUCUCGCGGUACUGGCCGGGGUACGAGUAACCUUAGGGAAGA
Molecule: ribozyme, 66 nt
Filed under: Aedes aegypti (yellow fever mosquito)
Lineage: Eukaryota; Metazoa; Arthropoda; Insecta; Diptera; Culicidae
Description: drz-agam-1 ribozyme
Rfam family: drz-agam-1 ribozyme
Source: Rfam by way of RNAcentral